GACCAGACUCUACGGGAGGCAGCAGUGGGGAAUAUUGGGCAAUGGGCGCAAGCCUGACCCAGCAACGCCGCGUGAAGGAAGAAGGCUUUCGGGUUGUAAACUUCUUUUAUGAGGGACGAAAGAAAUGACGGUACCUCAUGAAUAAGCCACGGCUAACUACGUGCCAGCAGCCGCGGUAAUACGUAGGUGGCAAGCGUUAUCCGGAUUUACUGGGUGUAAAGGGCGUGUAGGCGGGACUGCAAGUCAGAUGUGAAAUCCCAAGGCUCAACCUUGGAACUGCAUUUGAAACUGUUGGUCUUGAGUAUCAGAGAGGCAGGCGGAAUUCCUAGUGUAGCGGUGGAAUGCGUAGAUAUUAGGAGGAACACCAGUGGCGAAGGCGACUUUCUGGACUGUACCUGACGCUGAGGCGCGAAAGCGUGGGUAGCGAACGGGAUUAGAUACCCGUGUACC
RNAcentral lists this ribosomal RNA (450 nucleotides) under uncultured bacterium. RNAcentral describes it as "bacterial SSU rRNA". It matches the Rfam family "Bacterial small subunit ribosomal RNA", at positions 329 to 794 of the family's 1533-position model. The record is from RNAcentral.